UACGUAGGGCGCAAGCGUUAUCCGGAAUUAUUGGGCGUAAAGAGUUCGUAGGCGGUCUGUCGCGUCGGCUGUGAAAUCCCGAGGCUCAACCUCGGGUCUGCAGUCGAUACGGGCAAACUAGAGUAUUGCAGGGGAGACUGGAAUUCCUGGUGUAGCGGUGAAAUGCGCAGAUAUGAGGAGGAACACCGGUGGCGAAGGCGGGUCUCUGGGCAAUAACUGACGCUGAGGAGCGAAAGCGUGGGGAGCGAACAGG
RNAcentral lists this ribosomal RNA (253 nucleotides) under uncultured bacterium. RNAcentral describes it as "partial 16S ribosomal RNA". It matches the Rfam family "Bacterial small subunit ribosomal RNA", at positions 524 to 776 of the family's 1533-position model. The record is from RNAcentral.